Long non-coding RNA from Cydia pomonella (codling moth), 134 nucleotides. RefSeq lists it as uncharacterized. The record is from RefSeq and is a predicted model, not a curated record. The transcript is spliced from 2 exons. Lineage: Eukaryota; Metazoa; Arthropoda; Insecta; Lepidoptera; Tortricidae.
UAAAAAAUGGCCGCCAUCGUGAGUUUCUUUACUUUUGCUAUUUUAUUUGUGGUUUCCAAGUUUUAUUCAUUUAUAUUUUGCUUGCUAUUACAAUUUCGCAGGCGUUAUCAUUUUUCAAGUUAUCGAUCUCAUUU